This 253-nucleotide ribosomal RNA is filed under the name uncultured bacterium. RNAcentral describes it as "partial 16S ribosomal RNA". It matches the Rfam family "Bacterial small subunit ribosomal RNA", at positions 524 to 776 of the family's 1533-position model. The record is from RNAcentral.
UACGUAGGGGGCUAGCGUUGUCCGGAUUUAUUGGGCGUAAAGAGCGUGUAGGCGGCCAUGUAGGUCCGGUGUGAAAACUCGGGGCUUAACCUCGAGAUGUCAUCGGAAACCAUUUGGCUAGAGUCCGGAAGAGGAGAGUGGAAUUCCUGGUGUAGCGGUGAAAUGCGCAGAUAUCAGGAAGAACACCAAUGGCGAAAGCAGCUCUCUGGGACGGUACUGACGCUGAGACGCGAAAGCGUGGGGAGCGAACAGG